AACCGGAUUAGAUACCCUGGUAGUCCAUGCCGUAAACGAUGAGUGCUAGGUGUUGGAGGGUUUCCGCCCUUCAGUGCCGCAGCUAACGCAUUAAGCACUCCGCCUGGGGAGUACGACCGCAAGGUUGAAACUCAAAGGAAUUGACGGGGGCCCGCACAAGCGGUGGAGCAUGUGGUUUAAUUCGAAGCUACGCGAAGAACCUUACCAGGUCUUGACAUCUUACGCUAACCUCAGAGAUGAGGCGUUCCCUUCGGGGACGCAAUGACAGGUGGUGCAUGGUCGUCGUCAGCUCGUGUCGUGAGAUGUUGGGUUAAGUCCCGCAACGAGCGCAACCCUUGUUACGAGUUGCCAGCAUUCAGUUGGGCACUCUAGUGAGACUGCCGGUGACAAACCGGAGGAAGGUGGGGACGACGUCAGAUCAUCAUGCCCCUUAUGACCUGGGCUACACACGUGCUACAAUGGGCGAUACAACGAGCUGCAAACCCGCGAGGGUAAGCUAAUCUCUUAAAAUCGUUCUCAGUUCGGACUGUAGUCUGCAACCCGACUACACGAAGUCGGAAUCGCUAGUAAUCGCGGAUCAGUAUGCCGCGGUGAAUACGUUCCCGGGCCUUGUACACACCGCCCGUCACACCAUGGAAGUUUGCAAUGCCCAAAGCCGGUGGCCGAACCUUCGGGACGGAGCCGUCUAAGGCAGGGCAGAUGACUGGGGGUGAAGUCGUAACAAGGUAACC
Molecule: ribosomal RNA, 731 nt
Filed under: uncultured Lactobacillus sp.
Lineage: Bacteria; Bacillati; Bacillota; Bacilli; Lactobacillales; Lactobacillaceae
Description: bacterial SSU rRNA
Rfam family: Bacterial small subunit ribosomal RNA
Source: RNAcentral